This 82-nucleotide transfer RNA is filed under the name Candidatus Omnitrophota bacterium. RNAcentral's name for it is "Candidatus Omnitrophica bacterium (sediment metagenome) tRNA-Leu". It matches the Rfam family "tRNA". Rfam says of the family: Transfer RNA (tRNA) molecules are approximately 80 nucleotides in length. Lineage: Bacteria; Pseudomonadati; Candidatus Omnitrophota. The record is from RNAcentral.
GCCGAAGUGGUGAAACUGGCAUACACGCUACGUUCAGGGCGUAGUUCCGCAAGGAUUGUGGGUUCGACUCCCAUCUUCGGCA